Long non-coding RNA from Cydia strobilella, 3711 nucleotides. RefSeq lists it as uncharacterized. The record is from RefSeq and is a predicted model, not a curated record. The transcript has 4 exons. Lineage: Eukaryota; Metazoa; Arthropoda; Insecta; Lepidoptera; Tortricidae.
AUACACAGCCAAAUAAUGCUCAACCCAAGAAUGUACAGCCCAAUAAUUGGCGUCCAUGAUGUACGUCUAUUAUUGGGUCGUGUAUUAUUGGGUUGAGCAUUCUCGGUCCGCGCAGGCUUGGUCCGGGGCGAUAAUACGAAGCCACUCUUUUCACAGGGCAAUAAUGUACGACCCAAUAAUACGCGUCCACUAAUUUGAGUCCUUGGCUUUCAAAUAUUGGGCUGCGCAUUAUUGGCACACGUCGAGAAAGCCCGACCCAAUAAUGUACGACCCAAUAAUAGGAAGCCAAAAACCAGAGACAUUCUUUUUUUUAAGAGAGCUGUCAAAAUUAGUAGGGACGUUCUGACUCGAGCUCGUGACAGCUUAAAAAUAAUCGGUUUUUUCUAGUGACAUCUUUCAGUGACAUUGACAGUAUUGACACUUGUUUGGUUUACAAUUUGUUAUAAUUUUUUAAUUUUUUGCAACAAAAGUCCUAAUAUUUUUCCGUACUUAAUGUCUUCAUUAUAUACAAGUAUGCAAGAAAUCAUGGCAAGAGAUCCUUAAUCGUUUUGGAAUUAAAUGAAUUCUAAAAGCAGUAGAGGUAGGUACGGAAAAAAUAUUAAUUAAUGGAGAACCUUUGUCCGGUGAACAAGUAAUGAAUUUGCUAGGUUUUUUCACUCCGUGGUCAGCGUGGAGAAGCCAAAGUUGGAGACUACAUGAGGCACAGACAGCAGUAUGUAGAUUAUGAAGGGCACAGAUUGAAACCAGCAGUGACAUGGGCCAUUUGUUCAAUAGAAUAUCUUGGUUUAUCGAAAUUGGCUGAGACAGCAAGGUGCAGGUCUCUGGAAAAUAUAUUAGGGAGCUGAUACAGGCAGUGUUGGCCGAAACGUUAAUGCAAUUAACCAUUAACCAGUACAAACUGAACCGUAAACUGUAACUGUCCGUUACGGUUUACGGUUCAAUUUGUACUGGUUAAUGGUUAAUUGCAAUUAACGUUCGGCCAACACUGGAUACAGGCAGCCAGAAUGAGUCUCUGCUGAGUCGCCGUCUGACGUCUUCGUGCCUGGUGCCAGUCGCCAGUUGCAGGGGAAGAUGCGAAUAGUUAUACAAGCGAGCAUGAUGACGUCUCUCAAAAACUGAUAGACACAAUACUCUUACUCGCCUUGUUACCAGAGGCAACAACCAGCAGCAGUGGGACCAGCGCGGCCCCCCGCGCCCCCGCCCCGUCCCUCGCCCCUGCAGAGCGGACACCAGCGCCCUCUACAACUCUACCGGCGCCCGCCGUGUCUCCACCUUCUUCAAAAACGACAACCGGUGUUAGAUCUCCAAUUGACAUGACAAUACGAUGGACCUAGCUAGGCUAACAUUUUUAUUUUACCUUUUUAUCUCUGUAUAUUCCCAAGUCCCCAAGGGCACAGAUGGGAAUAUCAUAAUAUAGAUUACUCCCAUCCCCGUCCGCGCCCCCGCCUGAUGUGUGGCGGCCGUCACGUGAAGCCUUGACAAAUGUGAAUACAACCGUUGCCGCCAUAACAAUAAAUACUAAAAACAAUAGAUAAUGGUACGGAACCCUUCGUGCGCGAGUCCGACUCUCACUCUCACUUUCACGACUUUUCUUUCUAAGAUUAUUUUGAUUGGUUUGUCUACCAAUUAAUUUCUGUAUAAAUCAGUACCUAUAACAAAAUUCUUGCCCUUUUUAUUUCCCAAUUUAUAAUCUAAUUAUAGUCUUCAUCUUCUCAAAUCAUUUUUUAGCCUAAGAAUACAUUAUAAACCUAAGUAAUCUGUUAAACAAAAACCAUUGUCUUUAUUGUGACGGGCUCUAAGCUUCCAACUUGGGCACGUGGCAAAGCAACAAUGCCGUUUAAAAAGCAACUGAAUCGCGAUAGUACUAUAGUUCAAAUCUUUUUGACAGCUCAUUCAAGAUAACACGGUUGCGUAAUGUGGAUGGUUCGGUCGACCACCCCGAUAUAGGCGAGAAUACACAGCGCUCGUAAGAUUUCAACUUUAGUACUAUCGCGAUUCAGUUGCUUAUUAAACGGCAAUGUUGCUUUGCCACGUGCCAAAGUUGGAAGCUUGGAGCCCGUUACAAUAGAGACAAUGGCUUUUGUUUAUAGAUCCAAUCAUAUCAACUGAGCUAAUGCACUCACCUGUACUAACAAUGGCAUCGUAUUAUUACAAUACUAUUAUCCGCUUUUGUUCUCGUAGCCGCCACGCCAACUAGUUACUUACAAAAUAAGUUAGAAGUGCAUUGCAUGUAUAUUCAAUUUUCACAUCACCAAUUCGAAAAAGGGUUUUUUCUUCCCUGCUAGGAGGGAUCAAAGUGGCACUUUUCUUCCCUGCUAGGAGGGAUCAAAGUAACACUUUUCUGUUCUAGGACACUAUUUAAAAACAAUUGCACAUUAUUUUUUUAGCUUAAAUAAUAUUUUUAAACAUCAUAAUUACCUCAUAGGUGAUGUGAAAAGCAGUAUGUGUCACAUGGUAGCAAAAUUAUUUCCAUCUUGGGCGUAACACACUUGAAUCCCUCACUACGCUCAGGAUUCUACUUUAGAAUCUUCGUUACUCUCGGGAUUCUAUUAUAGAAACCUUCGCUUCGUUUAAGAUUCAAUGUACGCCCUCGCCGUAAAUAUGUCAUUUUGCUCCCUUGUAACACAAUCUACUAUUUUAACCUUAUUCCUUGUUGAAUGGGGUUAAAAUGGUCUAAAAUAAAAACAUGUUGUAACAUAUGGUUUUCUACAGAGUGCAUUCGUUUUGGGUGUCGACGGUUGUAAAAUGCAAAUAAAGUUAUGUUAGCCAUUAUUUAGUUAGUGUAUUUUGUAGCCUAUUUAAAAAAUAGAGUCGUUAAUCUAUACUAACAUAUCAAGGCGGUUAUAAUCUGCUUUUACUACGAGGUAGUUAUCCUAAUUUGUGGUUUACCACUUAAUGGCAUUGUAUUCUUGAGACUCUUUGAGUAAACAGGUAAGUGCAUUAGCUCAAUUGAUAUGAUUCCAUCUAUAACAGAUUAUUGACUUGGGCGAAAAAAACAUUUGAGAAGAUGAAGAUUAUUUGUGAUGCGUAUAGUUUUAUAUUACUUACCUUUGCCUUCUUUAGCUAAACGGAAAAAGUGGCCGCCAUUUGCCGUUUAGAUGAUGAAGCAAAAAAACGGCCAAGUGCGAGUCGGACUCGCACACGAAGGGUUCCGUACCAUUACGCAAUAAACGGCAAACGGCCCCAUUAUUUUUUUUUGUUAUUAUAGCGGCAACAGAAAUACAUCAUCUGUGAAAAUUACAACUGUCUAGCGAUCACGGUUCACGAGAUACAGCCUGGUGACAGACAGACAGAUGGACAGUGGAGUCUUAGUGAUAAGGUCCACAAAUUGCCCUGUCCCGGCCUCUGCAAUAAUGUACUAUUUCUCAAACAUGCAAUGAAAUAUUGAUAUUAUGUUCUUCAUAUUAGGCUGGAAAGUAUCACGUCUCGGGUGCGGCCAGACGAGAGGAAUUUAAUUAAAUUUCGUACAUAGUUGCAGACCUAGGCCGGAAAGUAGCUCUUUUUAACCGACUUCAAUUUCAUAGAAGGAGGAGGUUCUGUAUUCGGUUGUGGCUAUUUUUUUUUUUAAUUUCCAUUUCACAUAUAUUUGUGACACAGCAUCAUGGCAUUCAGCCAUUAAAAAAAAAAUUGAAGCAAUACUUGCUUUUUGGUUCAUUAUGACAUUCUGUCAAUACGCCUAUUAAAAAAAUAAAAUAAACGAUGUUUGCUAUA